GUGGCCGUAGCUCAGCGGUAGAGCAUCGGAUUGUGGCUCCGAGGGUCGCGGGUUCAAGCCCCGUCGGUCACCCCA
Molecule: transfer RNA, 75 nt
Filed under: Myxococcales bacterium
Lineage: Bacteria; Pseudomonadati; Myxococcota; Myxococcia; Myxococcales
Also listed under: 1 other name
Description: tRNA-His
Rfam family: tRNA
About the family: Transfer RNA (tRNA) molecules are approximately 80 nucleotides in length. Their secondary structure includes four short double-helical elements and three loops (D, anti-codon, and T loops).
Source: RNAcentral